GACUGGAGGAAUUGAGUGGCUUCCAUUUGGGGCUUUUGCAGUAUUUCCUACUGAAAGGAUGGAAACGAGUACAAAAUGGAAGUAUAUUUCCUCCAAAAAUGCAUCGAAAACAGAGGUGAAUCAAAAUGCAGAAGUGAAAAUGAUCACAGUGGCAUCACGUCGCCCCAACCCUUCGAGCAUCAGCGAUAGUAAGGGAGGGCUUUACACAAUCCCGACCUAUUCCAAGCGCUCGCAUCUAGACGCACAGAGAUGCUGUGUUUCACGUCAGCUGUGUGUGAUCGUGCCCGUGAUUUCAGCAGAGUAAUCUUGUUCUCUUCAGGUCUUUUUGCGGUCUGGGCUUGCUGUCAAAUGACUAUCCAGGAAGCCCUUACCCCAAAAAGCAUCUGCAGGGGACCCGUACAUCAAGGAAGAUUUGCAUAAAGUUCCCUCCUGAGGCUUGACGUUAGUGUAUAUAUUGUGAAGUCAUGUUUUCUCACCAUGUCUGUCAGUUAAUUCAUGAGUGUAUAUGACUGUGAAAUUGUGUAUUUGACCUUGACCCAUCCAACACAAAAGGUGUGUGUGGUUUAAGUAGGUCAUUUUGGCAGUAGAUAUGCUGUAUUAUGGUGCAAUACAUAAUAGAGACCAUGUCAGUUAAGAAAAAAAUAUCACAGCUGUCAUUAAUCCAGUGGUUCCCACACUGGUUGUCAUUACCCAGAGUAUUACUGCUUCUCCUCUGGACACAGUAACUAGUUUAAACUUUGAUCCAAGAUGUCAAUCAUUCCCUGACUUAGUUGGUUAGACUGAAAACCAGCAGGUUUCCCUUUUCUGAGGAGCAGCAUUGAGACCCAUUUCUCAUUUUCUGAAUGCAUGUGAAACAUGACAACAUUUUUCCAGAAGGUGGCGGCAUUGCUCAAGCAACAUUUUGAGUGUGACUACUUAAAUCCCCCCCCCCCCACACACACACACGACAAAUCUAUGGACACAAUUAUGAUGGUGACAGUGAGUUUGAUAAUGGCACCUGUACCUAUUCAUGGUUGUAAUGUAACACACUUGGAACACUUAUUUACUUUUGGCUUCAGAAAUCUGGAGUUUGUCCAUUGAAGUAGUCCAGUCCAGUGAAUGAGAAGCUGUUGUCUCAGCUUAAGCAGCCAACACAGCAGUGAAAGUAAUGACUUUUGUGCUUCCAACUCAAUAAACAGCUUCUGCAGAAAUUUGUCAUUUCCUAUGUAUUACUCAUUUGUUUCCUAUGCCAAGAACUUCUUUGGUAUCGUGCAAAGCAGGGCAAACUCACAACGAAAAAACAGGUGCAAACCAAUUGUGUUACCACUUCUACGCAGCAGUGAUGCAAUUUUGCUUCCAGUAAAACAUACAAAAACACAUUAUUAAAUGAUUCUUCAUCUACUGACUCCAGACAUAUCAUCCCACAUCGAGCUUGUUGAAAGAAAUCCAGCAUUUUGUUUUCUGGGGUGGAAUAACUUUUUUUAACCUUUAGACUCUUGUUGUGGUGUUGUUUGGCCCGCUCACUGCAUUUCUCAAACAACAGAAGCCGAACAAAUCACUUUCCGAUAUCCUGAGAUGUCAGAGGAAACAUUGGGUCUCAUUAUCCUAAUGCCUUUGGUGGGGCUUUGUUUUUACAGCCUGUUUCUGCCCCUCUUUUGCUUAUUGUUACUUUUGCUUACUGGAUGUUUGACUUCCAGUUAGCAGACUCAUGUACAGUAUAUGCAGAGUGCAAUGCCAGACAAAUGUUUUCACAUUCUUCUGGAGGAAUGUUUCUGUGGUCACCUUAAACGUGACAUAAAGGGCACGUACGUGUGUUGGGAUGUCAGAUACUUCUGGAAGUUAGUCAUGGUCCGAAACGUGUGAUGUUGAAACUUGAGGCCUGCAUUGCACACACAGUACACUGAGAAUGGACUUUUCCAUGAAGUAAGAGGCAUCAUGUUCAUAGAUUCAGAUUUUUUAAAAUGAAGAUAAAGAAUUAGAUGUAAUUUUAAAUUUUUUUAAUAUAUAUAUAUUUUUCACGUAGUAGUAGUAACUUUUGUGUUUGUAUAUCAGACAGACUUUGCCAUUUCAGUGUUUUUAUAUGUCCUAAAACAUGCUGGGAAAAGAUAAAGGAAGAUAAAACCUAAGAUACCUUGAAAUGACCAUCAGCAAAAUUAUACCCAGACAACAGUGCUAUCAUUAACAGUGAGAGGAAUCUUAAAAAAAAAAAAAAUGCAUUGACUUUCUCAACAUCUGAGGUUAGCGAGAAUGUGUUUUCUGGUUGCUCUUAUUGUGAAUUACGGUUUAUUAUUCACACAAAGUGUUCUCACUAUUCCAGAUGAACAGCUGCCUCUUCAAAACUGUCUCUUUGAGGUAUUAACUUAAAAGGGACCUAUUUUCCCUCAUGCCAGUUGACCUCCUGCUCUGCCCUGACUCAUCUUAUUCAAAGAGUUCAAAUGAGGGAACCUGCUGUGGGGUGACUGUCUCACUGGCAGUCACCUGUAGCUCACACAACACUCUUUUGGGAGAAGAGUAUUAAAUCCUUGGGCACUUUUUACUGUUCCUCUACCACACGAGGUUGCACCCACAUCUUGAUACACUGGCACUGGAUCUAGAACAAUAAAUUAGCCUGUUUCUUUUCAUCACCGGCCACUGAAAGAUAAUGUGAUCUGUAAUUUCAGGUGUAGAUUCAAAUAACUGGUCAAAACCUGGAUUCACCUACCAACAGACAGUAUUUCCAAUAUAGUUUGUUCAAUGUGUUAAAGAAAAAGAAUAAAAAUGUGAUUAUUUGCUUUGUAACAGCUUAUUUUUUGAUAUAUGAACGAGAAUAGAUAGGACCAGUAGGACCAACUAGACAAUGGAAUGAGGCCUGUCGGGAACAGUUUGCCAGAACAUGAGGCUUUGAUGCCUGAUUAUCUUCCCAUAAAAAUUAAUGGAUAUGUUCCCACUUGUUGCCUGUCAUCCCAGUCAUGGUACUUCUACGUGCCACACAAAGGCAACUGAACUCACUUGAAGAUGUCGCACCUCUCAUCUGAAAGGCUUAUUUAGCUCUAACUGACUGCUGGGGAAUCCCAGGCAUUUAACCCUUUGUAGGGUCAUGAACAACUUGAGGGUCGUUGAGAUCACAUGGAAGUCACUGACCCACCCAGCCAUCAUGUGUGUUAUUAGGGUCAUAUUAGUAAGGGUAUGAAUGGAUGUUAAGCUGCCAAGGGAGGGAUCUCAAGGUUGCAUCACAAGUGGCUGAUAAGUUUUGUCAGGUCUAUCUUAAGACGUGCACAUAAGCACACCACUGACCUCAGUGUGACCAAUUACACUUUUAGUGUGUUUCAUGUUGUUGUUUCAUGUGAAUAUCGUUUUAAGAUGGUCUUGAAAUAUGUGAAUUUAUUCCUUAAUACUCCCUUGUUGCAUGUUUAGGUUCUCAAGACUUCCUUAAACACGCAUGCACUUUAUUUGCACAAUACAAGACCGUUUAUUCCUAUUACUUCGAAUUUAAAUACAAAUGUAAUAUGUAUGUAAUAAGGUCUGGUGAUUUGAGUUCAUUAUUUUCACAUGAACUACUUCAUUUACUAAUCAUCUCCUCUGAAAUUAACAUCUGUCUCAUUAAAAUCACAACAUGCUUCUUCCCUGAUUAAUUUUUUUUACGACACACUAUGAAACCGGCAGUGUUAUGUAAAAAGAAUCUUAUGAUAUGGUGUGCUCUGACUACAUAUGGAAGAGUCAGUAUCUAUUACAUAUUGUAAGAUGCAGUCAUCUGCCCUCUACACAGAUCAGAUCAUAAACAAAUCCCAAAAUAUCUAGCAAGUUACACAGCUACGUAAUUCCUGCCAUGCCACUUGAGAUACACAUUCACAGAGACAGAGAGAAAGGCUGACUACCACAAGUACUGUGAUGGUUUUGAUUUCAGGUCUUUACUUUUAUCAUCAAAACAUGUUGUCUUUAUACAGUGGAAAUUAGUGGAAUGAAUUUAUAGGUUUUAUAUUGUAUUAAGUGCACAUCUCCCUGCACAAAAAGAGUCUAUAAAAUAAUACAAAAUGUACAGUGUGUCUUAAAAAAAAAAAGAUUCAUAUGAACUAUCAUAUGGUGUAGAGAGUUUUCUAUAUUGGCCGUGUAAAGAUAAACCAGAUCCUUAUCAUAAACUCACUUAUUAUAAGUGAAAUUCAGUAAAACUUCUUUUUACACUGCAGACAUCUGACUGGCUGGAACAGGGCUUAGAGUAAGCAUGUUUCAGAUGUAUUAUUCAGCAUUCACAGUAAUAAACAGCCUCUUGAUAAUAUGCUGGUGGGAAAGAGCAUCAGCAGCCAGUUUUUCUGGAACUUACAUAACGUGUCACAAGUUACACUCCUCACGAAUGCACUCAGGUAAAUCCUUCAAAUCCUGCGUAAUAGGCCACUUUUGUUUUACGUAAAAACACCUGUGCUUGCUUCACAUGAUAAAAACAUGUUUUUUGCUUGCUCUGACUGGACUUCUGCAGAGCUCCAACUCAUUCUGAGCCCCCCCC
Lates calcarifer (barramundi perch) is the source of this 4456-nucleotide long non-coding RNA. RefSeq lists it as uncharacterized. The transcript is spliced from 3 exons. The record is from RefSeq and is a predicted model, not a curated record. NCBI's taxonomy places the organism in Eukaryota, Metazoa, Chordata, Actinopteri, Centropomidae.